AUGCACAUCUUGAAGCAUGUGGAAAACUGUGACCAUUGCAAGGCCAAGAAGUUCCAGUACGAGACUGACGGCUUCUCCUAUCGGAACAGGGAGAUUGAGCUGGCUGAACCGGAGCCUAUCCCGAAGAUGAAGAGGUUAUGGUCUAGCAUGGAAGCAGACUCUCGGAAUUUCCGGGAGAGCAUUCGGUUCUUCAACGGGCACUUCUCCUUCACUACCCUUGGUGUCAGCCUAGACAACAACUGCACAAACAUGAAGCCCGGGGUGUACACGUUUCGGGCACAUGGCACUAUGUACCACAAGGUGCACUCAUUCGGUCCAAGAUCUCGUCCUGAACAUCUGCACUUGUACUUGUAUGACGAUGACCCCAGCUUAAGCCAUCAAAGGAGGCCACCAAGCAAUUGGACCAGUGCGUUGUCAGCAAGUUAG
Molecule: ribosomal RNA, 426 nt
Filed under: Triticum aestivum (bread wheat)
Lineage: Eukaryota; Viridiplantae; Streptophyta; Magnoliopsida; Poales; Poaceae
Description: partial small subunit ribosomal RNA
Source: RNAcentral